AAGUCGGUAACAAGGUCUCCGUUGGUGAACCAGCGAAAGGGAUCAUUACAGAGUUCUAAAAGACUCCCAAAACCAUUGUGAACGGUACCNGUCAGCGUUGCCUCGGCGGGCGGCCCCUCCCUGGGGCCGCUGCCUCCCCCGGGGGGUGCCCGCCGGCGUACCAAAACUCUUCUGUAUUUUAGUGGCCUCUCUGAGAAAACAAGCAAAUAAGUUAAAACUUUCAACAACGGAUCUCUUGGUUCUGGCAUCGAUGAAGAACGCAGCGAAAUGCGAUAAGUAAUGUGGAUUGCAGAAUUCAGUGAAUCAUCGAAUCUUUGAACGCACAUUGCGCCCGCCAGUACUCUGGCGGGCAUGCCUGUUCGAGCAUCAUUUCAACCCUCAAGCCCUGNUUGGUGUUGGGGCCCUACGGCUGCCGUAGGCCCUGAAAGCUAGUGGCGGGCUCGCUAUAACUCCGAGCGUAGUAGUAAAAUAUCUCGCUAGGGAGGUGUCNCGGGUUCCGGCCGUGAAAGCCCAUCUUUUACACAAGGUUGACCUCGGAUCAGGUAGGAAUACCUGCUGAACUUAA
Molecule: ribosomal RNA, 565 nt
Filed under: uncultured fungus
Lineage: Eukaryota; Fungi
Description: eukaryotic LSU rRNA
Rfam family: 5.8S ribosomal RNA (bases 216-369)
Source: RNAcentral